GAUGAACGCUGGCGGCGUGCCUAAUACAUGCAAGUCGAGCGAACAGACGAGGAGCUUUCUCCUCUGACGUUAUCGGCGGACGGGUGCGUAACACGUGGAUAACCUACCUCUAAGACUGGGAUAACUUCGGGAAACCGUAGCUAAUACCGGAUAAUAUAUUGAACCGCAUGGUUCAAUAGUUAAAGACGGUUUUGCUGUCACUUAUAGAUUGAUCCGCGCCCCAUUAGCUAGUUGGUAAGGUAACGGCUUACCAAGGCAACGAUGCGUAGCCGACCUGAGAGGGUCGAUGGCCACACUGGAACUGAGACACGGCCCAGACUCCUACGGGAGGAAGCAGUAGGGAAUCUUCCGCAAAGGGCGAAAGCCUGACGGAGCAAAGCCGCGUGAGUGAUGAAGGUCUUCGGAUCGGAAAACGCUGUUAGUAGGGAAGAACAAAUGUGUAAGUAACUAUGCACGUCUUGACGGUACCUAAUCAGAAAGCCACGGCUAACUACGUG
RNAcentral lists this ribosomal RNA (497 nucleotides) under uncultured bacterium. Its description in RNAcentral is "partial 16S ribosomal RNA". It matches the Rfam family "Bacterial small subunit ribosomal RNA", at positions 28 to 507 of the family's 1533-position model. The record is from RNAcentral.